CUAUAAUCAAUAGUGUAUUGCCUGUAGAUCUAGUACCUGUACUAAUAUUAGUAGAUGUAGAUCUAUAAUAAUAAUACUUUUUAAUACUAGAAAGUAGAUUUAUAUUUAUAAUCUAUCAAUUCUAUCUAAUCUAGAUCUAAAUAUUCUAAAUCUAGACUUCACUUUCACAUCACAUGAUUAUUGAUACAGACAGUGAAUGAAACAAAUGCAGUGAUUAUAUUAUAGUUUAUACUGAUUAUACUUAUAGCUCUACCAGUUGAUUAUCAUCAUCAUCAUAGAUAAUAAUCUAGACUAGUAUUCUAGAUCUAUAAAUAAUCAUAGUCACCGUGAUAGUCAAUGUAGUCAAGUCAAGAUAGUGGAACGUAAACUCGAAGCCUUCUAGACUAGAUCUAGCAUCUCUAGCUAGACUCUAACUUGUAGUUUGUAGAUCUUGGAAUUGGAUCGAAAUUCACCUUCCUAAAUUGUCUCUAAAGUCUGUAGCUGAUUUGAGAGGCCCAACGAGGCAAGAGUCUAUUACUAUUAGUACUCUGUCUCUUGAUCUAUCUAGUAGGCCUACUUAGCUAGUGCAUUAGCCUUAGCCAUAGUGUAGUCAAAUCUUGACAACUAGUCUUCUAGAUCUAAGCUUCUAGAAUAAUUAGAUCUAGAUCCAGUUUAGAUUUAGAAUAUAAAAGUAUUUUACUAGCUAAAAUACUAAAUCUACUGAUCUAAAUUCUAGAUAGAUAUACAAUAUAUAGAUCCAGUUUAGAUUUGGAAUAUAAAAAUAUUUACUAGCUAAAAUUCUAAAUCUAAUGAUCUUCUAUACUUAAUAUUUAAGAUAUUAUAUGACAUCUACAAAAAUUAUUAUUAAGAUAUAAUUAUAGAAUCUAGACUAGUUAUUUAUGUAUAUAAAAUAUAUAAAUAAAAGAUAUAUGUAUGCAGGCCUAGAUCUCAUAAAUUUAUAAUUGAUCCAGAUCUAUCAGUAAAAGUUACCUUCGAUGGGAAGUUUUACCCAAUCUAAUCUAUACAAGACAAUUUAUAAUCCAUGCCUCGCCUACACCCCAUACAUUAAAUAAUAGUUCCCAUUCCAUGCCAUGCCCAGACCCAUGAGUUCAUGAAAUAAUAAAUGAUGUGGUGUCAAGUUGGAUCUAUCCCCUGAAAUUCAGCACUUUAAUAUAAAACUCACAUAUCUAGUUAAUUAUUUGCUAUGACACUCUGAUCAACUUGGACUUGUGUGAUACAUAUAUGUUUCUUAUCAGAUUUAAUGAAUGAAGUUUUGGUGCAUUUUAAGGCUACAAAAGUAUCAUCAGGUGCAUUCUAACCAUUGGUAUUUUUCCUGGCAACAUUUCUAUUCUAGUCUGUGAUAAAUUAUAAAUUUAAAAAAAUGUUUGUAAUGUUUCAGUUAUUAACAAGUAGAACCAUGCCAACCAGUUCUGAUGAUGUACCAGAAUGGCUCAAGGAUCAUACUUAUACUAUUUCUACUCUCUGGGCAGACAUUAAUAAUAUUGGCAUCCAUUCAAUAUUUAUUUUAUGUUUGGAAAUGCAAGAAAAAGGCAUGCAUUCCUGACAAGUCAAUGAUAGGUUGCACCUCUUAAAGAUAACUUUCUGUUAUGAGAAAAGAUGAGAUUCUUGGACUCCUGCAUAGCACCACCAGAAAGGAAAAUCCCAUCAUGUUGCAAAAUAAAAGUCUUGGACCAAUUUUAAUUUAAGAUAUAUAUAUUAUACUGUAAGCUCUAUACAUAUUUAUGUAUAUCCUGUCAUUCAGCCAACAGGUUUGGAUUUAGUAUUUCUUUAAAUCUGUUUGAUAUUGUACUUGAAAACUAUUAAUCUGAGCCACAUUAAAACAAUAGGGAGUGCAGUGAAUGAGUGGUAAAGCACUUGGCUUCUGAACUGAGGGUUUCUGGGUUCGAUUAAGACUGGGAUUUUCAAUUUCAGAAUUCAAAAGGCUAGGGACAUAUGGCAUUAGUAAGGAAUAAGUAAAGGCAGUUUGGGGAUCCAUGGCUGAAUGGUUAAGUCAUGGGUUUGAAUCUCUGUGAAGACUCAGAUUAAAAUUUUUUAGAUUUUUGGGUGCCCCUGAGUCCACCUAACUCUAAUGGGUAGCUGACUUUCGUUUUGGAAAGUAAAGAUGGUUGGUUGUUGUGCUGGCCACAUGAUGCACUGGCCAAAGAAUCAAAUGACCUUAACAUCUAUAGAUUGUGACGUCUGAAAUGGGAUUUUUUUUCAAAAGGUGGUUGGUUGUUGUGCUGGGUACAUGACCCUCUCGCUAACCAUGGGGCACAGAAACUGAUAAACUUUAUAUCAUCUGCCCCAUAGAUUGCAAGAUAUGUAAGGGAAAUUUUACUUUUUUAAAAUUAAAAUAAGAAUCUAUCAAAAGUAAACAUAAAAUAUGGUGCAUUCUCCUUAAAACUAAAACCUUGUGCGAAGGUUUAAAAUGUUGGCAAAAAAAAGCAACAUCAUAUAUUCUUAAUUCCCUUUGCAAAACUUACUGAGAAGAAUAUGCAUGUUGUUCCCUCAUAAGUUUCUUGACAGAGGAAAUCUUGUUUAUAUUAGAUUUGAAUUAAGCAAAUUAAGAAAAAAAUUAUAAUCAUUAUUUCAAAUGGUUGUAUCUAAACCUUAUGAAUUAUUUUUCAGUUCUAAGUAUAUUGAGAUUAAUGGAUAAUCAUGAAAUUGUUAAAUAAUUGCUGCUAUCAUUCCAUUGACUAAAGAACCAUAAUUUAUUUUUUUUAAAAUUAAUUUCAAAAUGAUUUUUUUCAAGCAUAGAGUUCACAUAGAUCUUGAGUGAAUUUUUUUUUUUUUUAUUUGACUAAUGCUUCAAUUUUAUUGUAUCAUAUUAGUUGUUAAUUUUUAUUACCCAGAAUAUUUAAAAAAUGAGUACACUAUUUUCAUGUAAUAAUGUAACUUGGUAUUCACACAAUGCUCAAAAUACACCAUAAUCUUUAGGCCAUACAGAUUUGUAUAAAUUAACUUGUUUAAAUACAUUGUAAAUGUAUAUUGUUUGGAUAAGAAUAAAGUUUUUCUGUAGACAA
Biomphalaria glabrata is the source of this 3002-nucleotide long non-coding RNA. RefSeq lists it as uncharacterized. The transcript is spliced from 4 exons. Lineage: Eukaryota; Metazoa; Mollusca; Gastropoda; Planorbidae. The record is from RefSeq and is a predicted model, not a curated record.